This 408-nucleotide unclassified non-coding RNA is filed under the name Hevea brasiliensis (rubber tree). The record is from RNAcentral. Lineage: Eukaryota; Viridiplantae; Streptophyta; Magnoliopsida; Malpighiales; Euphorbiaceae.
AGAUUCAGGAAUAUACAAGCCACAAAUAAUACAACGAAGUUAGGUGAUAGCCAAGAGACUCGGGCAAAUUAUCAGAAAUAUUCAAAUAACUGAGAUCUAACUCUAUGAGAGAUGCACUGCUGUUCGAUUUGGUCUUUGGAAAAUAACCACUGAGUUGAAUGUUUUUCAAUAACUGAAGCAUUUCCAAGUUUGGCAGGUGAAAAAUACUCUCAGGUAUUAUCCCAUACAAUCCUGUAUUUGGCAGCCUCAGAGUUGUGAAAUGAGAAGAAAAAUUCAGAGGAAUGGAGGAAGAGAUGUUUAUAGAAGUAAGAUCAAGCUCUAUUAAUUGGGUCAUGUUCUGAAGGAGCAAUUUAAAAUCUUGAGCAAUGAGUCAUACAUAAAAAUAGAGAUGAAGAAACUGCAACUUAG